Molecule: ribosomal RNA, 389 nt
Filed under: uncultured microorganism
Description: bacterial SSU rRNA
Rfam family: Archaeal small subunit ribosomal RNA
Source: RNAcentral
GUGCAGCAGUCGAGAAAACUUCACAAUGUGCGAAAGCACGAUGAGGGAAUCCCAAGUGCUUGCUCGUAAGAGUAAGCUGUUUCUCUGUCUAAAACGCAGAGAGAGUAAGGGCUGGGUAAGACGGGUGCCAGCCGCCGCGGUAAUACCUGCAGCUCGAGUGGUGGCCGCUGUUAUUGGGCCUAAAACGUCCGUAGCCGGUUUAUUAAAUGCCUGGGUAAAUCGGACCGCUUAACGGUUCGAAUUCCGGGUAGACUGAUAAACUUGAGACCGGGAGAAGCUAGAGGUACUCCUGGGGUAGAGGUGAAAUUCUGUAAUCCUAGGGGGACCACCAGUGGCGAAGGCGUCUAGCUAGAACGGGUCUGACGGUGAGGGACGAAGCCCUGGGGCGC